Molecule: long non-coding RNA, 312 nt
Organism: Amphiprion ocellaris (clown anemonefish)
Lineage: Eukaryota; Metazoa; Chordata; Actinopteri; Pomacentridae
Exons: 3
Source: RefSeq, a predicted model, not a curated record
AGAGGCCCUGGCUGGCAGGCAGGGAGGCAGGUCUUCAAGGAACCACACUUUGCAAGCCUCCACAGGCCGGGCAGCCCCUCCAGGCUAAUUGUUGUGUGGCGAGGUCCAGGUUCAGCUGUGGGUCACCGGAGUGGAGUGGUGUCAACCCUGGGCAGCCCCUUUCCCCCACCCACUAAGACAUCCAUCGCACACCUUCACCUGUCAGCUUAGCGUAUGCUCAGUGCUGCAAGUUAAAGUACACACAAACACACAUGGCUCCAUCAUGGUCAGUGCUGUGUAAUCACUGCAGGGUCUUCUUGGAACCACUCAGGG